Molecule: transfer RNA, 85 nt
Filed under: Felis catus (domestic cat)
Lineage: Eukaryota; Metazoa; Chordata; Mammalia; Carnivora; Felidae
Rfam family: tRNA
About the family: Transfer RNA (tRNA) molecules are approximately 80 nucleotides in length. Their secondary structure includes four short double-helical elements and three loops (D, anti-codon, and T loops).
Source: Rfam by way of RNAcentral
GCCUAGGUGGCUCAGUCAGUUAAGCAUCUGACUUAGGCUCAGGUCGUGAUCUCGUGGUUCGUGGGUUUGAGCCCUGCACUGGGCU